Molecule: RNA transcript, 1993 nt
Organism: Carassius gibelio (silver crucian carp)
Lineage: Eukaryota; Metazoa; Chordata; Actinopteri; Cypriniformes; Cyprinidae
Gene name: cytidine and dCMP deaminase domain-containing protein 1
Exons: 4
Source: RefSeq, a predicted model, not a curated record
UAAAAACAGACGCACCGCCCCCAGAUGACGUCAGCGCGAAUGUUGUUGUUUGGGGCUGUUUAAUGAAUGACAGACGGAUGCCAAAGUACAAGGUCAUGGACCUCGACUGUCAAAGCCAACCUCUUCACAUUGUUGAGUCUAUGGAUGGAACUUUUCCCCAAAAAAAGCACCACAGCAGUGAGAGACUGACGCAGUGGGCAUAUCUGAAUUUCCUCUAAAGCAAUUGUGCUGGAGACAGUGGUCUUGUGGUGGUCCACGAGCGCAGGGCUGUGGGUCUGCAUUGUUCCAGUGUGCAGUUACAUGCAAGACAGGUGGCUGUGGUCAAACACGGACCCAGACUGAAGGAAUGUGAUCUCUACUUUGUUAAUUUGAUCUCUACUUUUGUAAUUUGUGAUGUAAACGGAAACUUUGAAACAAAUUUAAAUAUGACAAAAUAGCAACACAAUUGCCAACCGAUUGGUUAUAAAUGCUAAAGUUUGUCAAUGCUCAGCAAGGAAUUGAUGGUUAGUAGUAUUUUUCAAGUUUCAAUUCAAUUUGUAUAGUGCUUUUUAUGAUACAAACUGUUGCAAAGCAACUUUACAGUAAAUUAAAUUCAGUUAAUUUUUUCAGUAAUUGUUUUUAAUUGGUUGCCAUCUUUGACCAUUUUCACAAAAAUUUCAGGCCCCCCGAUCAGUGCUCUUUCAGAUGCUUCAUAGCUCCUCCUACCGUAUAACAGUGAAAACUCGGAAAACUCUCAAUGGUGGGGACGCAUAUAGUAAAUAACAGCACAUUCUAUCAGUGGUGGGGAAAGAGUUAAUCAUAUUUCGAAAUCUAAUAACAUCAUUAUGAGUACUUUAUCUAACAGCAUGUAAUAUCAUAAAGUGAGACAGCACAACUAUUCCAUUGCUAAGGCUGUUGAUGUUUUCCUGCCAAAAUGAUAUAAUUUCCUGUAGGAUGAUGUAAGGGUGCAAAGUUAAAUUGAGGUGCAGUUCAAAUUUUUUCUUAUUUUGUGUGUGUGCCGUCUCUUUAUGUAUUAUCUUCUGUUUUAAACUACCUCUAGUUGCAGCUGUCAGAAGAACAGUUGACAACAACUGAGCACAUCUCCAGCGUGAGCGGGUGAAAUGUUUUAUAUGCACCGAAUGUAUUUGUGAAGAACUGAAUAUCAGACAGUUCGAUUGUUCAUGUAAAUGAAUUCAUUCUGCUUCCCACUUCCUCCGUUUGUUUCCCUCCAAACUGCAGGAGCACAGAGAUAAAAGAAGAGGACAACACAAUGAUGUUUGUGACCAAACGGCCAUGUGAUGACAGCUGUGCUAGAAUAAAGCAGAUCUACACCAUAGACCUGGACAGCAACAGUCAAACAUGACAACUCCUACCUCAGGUUCAACAAACUCAACAGCAUCCAGAAGCUCAUUUGGCAGCAGAAAUCAUCUGCUAUGACAUAUAUCAGAACAAGCUGCGCGGCCCACAGCAAGUGUUUGUCUCAAUUAAAAACAAAUAAAAUCUAAAACUCCCACCAUUAUCAAAGUUUCUCACCAACUGGAUGAGGAAAACGCAGCUAUUUUUUGUUCUUUAGUGAACGGUUUAAUUAGUGUUCAGAGUAGUUCAGAUUUGUGUGUAUUUAUUAUACUUUCACUUAUACAUUUGAACCUAAAAUCUAUUAUAAAAAGGAUAAAAUGUAAGGUCCUGUGUCUGCUCACCAGGUUUUCAUUCAGUUGCUCAUUUUUAUAUAAUAAUUGGAUUUAAAGGGUCCAUGGUAUGACAAAGGAAAUUUCUAAAGUAUACUAAAAUAUUGAGUACUCAACUAUAUACUAAACAUUCAAACAUUAAGUCUGACUUUCUUAAAAGCUGCAUGAAUAUUUAGAUGGAAUAUAGCAGAACUGUCCAUCAUGUGUUCACACAAUAUAUUACUAUGUUCUUACAGUGACAUAUACAGUGCAAUAUAUAUACAGUACCCAAUGUCCUUUUUCCUUAAAAAAAUAAUAAAAAAAUACAAUAAAAUAAAGGAGUCAAUGUU